This 264-nucleotide long non-coding RNA is filed under the name Carica papaya (papaya). Its description in RNAcentral is "long non-coding RNA (CPAP_LNC013811)". Lineage: Eukaryota; Viridiplantae; Streptophyta; Magnoliopsida; Brassicales; Caricaceae. The record is from RNAcentral.
UUUCACUUUAGAUCACCCGAGAGCACUGUAAGCCGAGGAGGAGGGACACAUGCCACGACCGGAAGCCAAACCCAAUUUCGGUAAGCCGUCCGCCUUCCUUCGCUCUUUUUCUACCUAUAGACAUUAAUAACACGUUGUUCUCUUCAUUUAACAAAGAAAGGAGAGAAGGAGAGGAGAUAGGUGAAAGCCGAGGGUGGGAAUUGCCGCGAUCAGUGGUUUCAAGGAGCCACGCCACCACCGGCCGAUUUAAAGUAAGAACACCCA